UGUCUAUCCUUUGGGGGUUUCCUCUAAAAUAAGAAAGUUAUAUGAAAUUAAUCCAUAAUACCUAUAGGGGGGAAAGACAUCUAAACUUUGUAGCUAAAAAUCAACAUCCAAGUAAUGAAAGAUGCAGCAAACAUCACCAAAAUAUGGCACUCCAUAUCUAAGGUAUGAACCCCUCAUUUAACAUGUCAAUGCAUCUCGAUGAUAUUGUCUAUCUUUUUUACAUAAACAAAGGAUGUCAAAUUCAGUCUCAGCUCUAAAAUAGCAUUGACAUUUAUAAAAUUUAUAACCUAUUAGAUGACAACAAAAAAUUAGUGAUAAAAUAAUCAAGAUGUAAGAAUAAGAUUUUAUUGCUCUAAAGGAAAUCAGGUUUGAACAUUGAAAUUUGCAGUAGUUGAUAAAAUUACAAUUCAAAAGUAUGCUACUUUUCAUGUUUCCCUUAAACAUUAAGGCACCAAGGUUUGCAAUAUAAAGGACAAAAAAAGCUUUUUCAAAUUCUUACAGCUUUGCAACAGCGUUGUCAAGAGGCGCCCGGGCGCUCACCCAGGCACCCGGAUAAAGCGCCUUCAACUAGACGCUGCCUAAGUGCCCAGGAGAGGCGCCACUUUUCAAAAGCUAAAAGUCUUU
Molecule: unclassified non-coding RNA, 624 nt
Filed under: Hevea brasiliensis (rubber tree)
Lineage: Eukaryota; Viridiplantae; Streptophyta; Magnoliopsida; Malpighiales; Euphorbiaceae
Source: RNAcentral